RNAcentral lists this ribosomal RNA (687 nucleotides) under Lysinibacillus sphaericus. Its description in RNAcentral is "bacterial SSU rRNA". It matches the Rfam family "Bacterial small subunit ribosomal RNA", at positions 72 to 880 of the family's 1533-position model. Lineage: Bacteria; Bacillati; Bacillota; Bacilli; Caryophanales; Bacillaceae. The record is from RNAcentral.
UAAGGAGCUUGCUCCUUUGACGUUAGCGGCGGACGGGUGAGUAACACGUGGGCAACCUACCUUAUAGUUUGGGAUAACUCCGGGAAACCGGGGCUAAUACCGAAUAAUCUAUUUUACUUCAUGGUGAAAUACUGAAAGACGGUUUCGGCUGUCGCUAUAAGAUGGGCCCGCGGCGCAUUAGCUAGUUGGUGAGGUAACGGCUCACCAAGGCGACGAUGCGUAGCCGACCUGAGAGGGUGAUCGGCCACACUGGGACUGAGACACGGCCCAGACUCCUACGGGAGGCAGCAGUAGGGAAUCUUCCACAAUGGGCGAAAGCCUGAUGGAGCAACGCCGCGUGAGUGAAGAAGGUUUUCGGAUCGUAAAACUCUGUUGUAAGGGAAGAACAAGUGCAGUAUUAACUGGCUGUACCUUGACGGGACCUUAUUAAAAAGCCACGGCUAUUUGAGUGCAGAAAGAAGAAAAGUGGAAUUUCACAGUGUAGCGGUGUAAUGGUAGAGAUUUGGAGGAACACCUGUGGGGAAAGGGGCAUUUUUUGUUUGUAAAUUACGCUGAGGGGCGAAAGAGUGGGGAGCAAACAGGAUUUGAUACCCUGGUAGUCCACGCCGUAAACGAUGAGUGUUAAGUGUUAGGGGGUUUCCGCCCCUUAGUGCGGCAGCUAACGCAUUAAGCCCUCCGCCUGGGGAG